AAUCGGUGUACGAUACCGGGGACUUGUCCCCACCAUUGAGCCGAGGGGAACGAGCCUCAGUAACAGCAUCCUUACAGGGUGGAAAACUGAAAAAGCAAACGGAGGGUGGAGUUUGGUAGGUUUCCUUAUCGGAUUCUCGAAGAAGUCAGGCCCG
RNAcentral lists this non-coding RNA (154 nucleotides) under unclassified sequences. RNAcentral describes it as "RT-3 RNA". It matches the Rfam family "RT-3 RNA". The record is from Rfam by way of RNAcentral.